Molecule: ribosomal RNA, 723 nt
Filed under: uncultured bacterium
Lineage: Bacteria
Description: bacterial SSU rRNA
Rfam family: Bacterial small subunit ribosomal RNA
Source: RNAcentral
UUGGUGAAGACCUAGUGGCGAACGGGUGCGUAACACGUGAGAAACCUGCCCCGGUCUCUGGAAUAACAGUUGGAAACGGCUGCUAAUACCGGAUGCCGUCGGACCAUCGCAUGGUGGACCGACGAAAGGGUUACCGGACCGGGAGGGUCUCGCGGCCUAUCAGCUAGUUGGUGAGGUAGUGGCUCACCAAGGCGACGACGGGUAGCCGGCCUGAGAGGGCGACCGGCCACACUGGGACUGAGACACGGCCCAGACUCCUACGGGAGGCAGCAGUGGGGAAUAUUGCGCAAUGGGCGAAAGCCUGACGCAGCAACGCCGCGUGCGGGAUGAAGGCCUUCGGGUUGUAAACCGCUUUCAGCAGGGAAGAAGCGAAAGUGACGGUACCUGCAGAAGAAGCACCGGCUAACUACGUGCCAGCAGCCGCGGUAAUACGUAGGGUGCAAGCGUUGUCCGGAUUUAUUGGGCGUAAAGAGCUCGUAGGCGGUUAGUCGCGUCGGAUGUGAAAACCCAGUGCUUAACACUGGGCCUGCAUUCGAUACGGGCUGACAAGAGUGUUGUAGGGGAGACUGGAACUCCUGGUGUAGCGGUGAAAUGCGCAGAUAUCAGGAAGAACACCGGUGGCGAAGGCGGGUCUCUGGGCAACUACUGACGCUGAGGAGCGAAAGCGUGGGGAGCAAACAGGAUUAGAUACCCCUGUAGUCCUGGCCGUAAACGAUGAACACU